RNAcentral lists this ribosomal RNA (255 nucleotides) under uncultured bacterium. RNAcentral's name for it is "partial 16S ribosomal RNA". It matches the Rfam family "Bacterial small subunit ribosomal RNA", at positions 524 to 776 of the family's 1533-position model. The record is from RNAcentral.
UACGGGGGGUGCGAGCGUUGUCCGGAAUCACUGGGCGUAAAGCGCGCGUAGGUGGUGUGUUAAGUCUGCCGGUCAAAUGCCGAGGCUCAACCUCGUUGCACGCCGGGGAUACUGGCACGCUAGAGACAAGUAGAGGCAAGCGGAAUUCCGGGUGUAGCGGUGGAAUGCGUAGAGAUCCGGAAGAACACCGGAGGCGAAGGCGGCUUGCUGGGCUUGGUCUGACGCUGAGGCGCGAAAGCGUGGGGAGCGAACAGG